UCCGGUCUGUCACCGGCAGUCCCAUUAGAGUGCUCAACUGAAUGUAGCAACUAAUGGCAAGGGUUGCGCUCGUUGCGGGACUUAACCCAACAUCUCACGACACGAGCUGACGACAGCCAUGCACCACCUGUGAAGGUGCCCCGAAGGGAAGGUGUGUUUCCACACCGGUCACCUACAUGUCAAGCCCAGGUAAGGUUCUUCGCGUUGCGUCGAAUUAAACCACAUGCUCCACCGCUUGUGCGGGCCCCCGUCAAUUCCUUUGAGUUUCAGCCUUGCGGCCGUACUCCCCAGGCGGGGCACUUAAUGCGUUAGCGCCGGCACCCAGGGGGUCGCUCCCCCAGGCACCUAGUGCCCAUCGUUUACUGCGUGGACUAC
RNAcentral lists this unclassified non-coding RNA (375 nucleotides) under uncultured bacterium. RNAcentral's name for it is "contains 16S-23S intergenic spacer region". The record is from RNAcentral.